CCCUGAGGUGCGCGUGACAUCCCCGUGCCCUCCACUGGAAGAAAUGUGCCCCCUGAAGGCGCAGCAGGAGCCCCCAGCCUGGGCGCGGCACCGCAGGACGCUUUGUGCUCUCCAAGGACUGCGCCUAAGUGUCCCCCGCUACGUCCUCACCUCCUGUCCUGAGGUCACUCGUUUCAUCUAAGAAGAAAGAGGGGAGAGAGGAAGAGGAGGAAGAAGAAAAGUCACCAGUGAAUCCUGAAUUGGAAGGAGACCCAACUGUAAGCAGUGCAUGAAGCGAGAUGGGACUGUAGCAGCCUCCUCACUGCCCCAGGGCCUUUGCACAUGCCACCCUCUGUGGGAUCCCUUCCCCGUGUCUAGGCCCCGAACACCCAGCUCCCCACAGCAGCAGGAGGAGCUCACGUCUCACUGAGGAGCAGCCGCCAGCCGGAGUGCACGUGGAAAAGAGGAGACAGCAGGAUAAACCGUCAGUGCCCGGCCCAGAGCUGUGGAUGCCCUAACUCCACGUGCCCUGCGGGGUGAGACAGGGUUUGGGACAGUGCAGCGAACAGAGCCCGAGGCGUCUCCGGCCUCCCGGCCCAGGUCCACCCACCCUGGGCCCAGGCAUCGUGGGACACUCAGCUGGGAUCCGGAAGCUCAGAUUUCGGGGUUCUGGGGUUGGGGUGCUCGACUUGUAAAGCCUAAGCAAAUAUCCCAACUUCUGAAAAGAAGUCUGAGACCUGAGACCUGUCUGGGGCCAAGCAUUUCUGACAAGGAAAUGCAACCUGCUGGGGACUCAGAGCCUGGGCGGCCCUGGGGAAGCAGCCAGUUCGGCGCCUUGGGGAGCCUGAGACCGGGAGGCCGAGGUGCGGG
This is a long non-coding RNA of Heterocephalus glaber (naked mole-rat), 849 nucleotides long. NCBI's taxonomy places the organism in Eukaryota, Metazoa, Chordata, Mammalia, Rodentia, Bathyergidae. The record is from Ensembl.